GACGAACGCUGGCGGCGUGCUUAACACAUGCAAGUCGAACGGAAAGGCCCUGCUUUUGUGGGGUGCUCGAGUGGCGAACGGGUGAGUAACACGUGAGUAACCUGCCCUUGACUUUGGGAUAACUUCAGGAAACUGGGGCUAAUACCGGAUAGGAGCUCCUGCUGCAUGGUGGGGGUUGGAAAGUUUCGGCGGACGGGGAUGGACUCGCGGCUUAUCAGCUUGUUGGUGGGGUAGUGGCUUACCAAGGCUUUGACGGGUAGCCGGCCUGAGAGGGUGACCGGCCACAUUGGGACUGAGAUACGGCCCAGACUCCUACGGGGGGCAGCAGUGAGGAAUAUUGUACAAUGGGCGGAAGCCUGAUGCAGCAACGCCGCGUGCGGGAUGACGGCCUUCGGGUUGUAGACCGCUUUCGCCUGUGACGAAGCGUGAGUGACGGUAAUGGGUAAAGAAGCACCGGCUAACUACGUG
RNAcentral lists this ribosomal RNA (468 nucleotides) under uncultured bacterium. RNAcentral's name for it is "partial 16S ribosomal RNA". It matches the Rfam family "Bacterial small subunit ribosomal RNA", at positions 28 to 507 of the family's 1533-position model. The record is from RNAcentral.